CCCCUCUUAGGGUCACACCUGGAGAGUUUCCAAUACUCUGCCGGUCUCGACUACGGGAGGGAGAGUCAAGCAGAGGCAUUUCCAUUCCAUUCCUAGCUUGGGCAGCGGCUAGGGAGCGGAUGGCAAUCUGCUACAAGU
Molecule: small nucleolar RNA, 138 nt
Organism: Tachyglossus aculeatus (Australian echidna)
Lineage: Eukaryota; Metazoa; Chordata; Mammalia; Monotremata; Tachyglossidae
Source: RefSeq, a predicted model, not a curated record